CCUACGGGUGGCUGCAGUGGGGAAUAUUGCGCAAUGGGCGAAAGCCUGACGCAGCGACGCCGCGUGAGGGAUGAAGGUCUUCGGAUCGUAAACCUCUGUCAGCAGGGAAGAACGGUCACUGUGCUAAUCAGCAGUGAAUUGACGGUACCUGCAAAGGAAGCACCGGCUAACUCCGUGCCAGCAGCCGCGGUAAUACGGAGGGGUCGAGCGUUAAUCGGAAUUACUGGGCGUAAAGCGCUCGUAGGCGGUAUGUCAAGUCAAGGGUGAAAUCCCCGGCCUAAACGUGGGAACUGCCUUUGGAACUGGCAAACUGGAGUGUGUGAGGGGAUAGUGAAAUUCCAGGUGUAGGGGUGAAUUCCG
RNAcentral lists this ribosomal RNA (360 nucleotides) under uncultured bacterium. RNAcentral describes it as "partial 16S ribosomal RNA". It matches the Rfam family "Bacterial small subunit ribosomal RNA", at positions 338 to 690 of the family's 1533-position model. The record is from RNAcentral.